CUUGCGCAGAGGUAGAUUGUUUGGCACACGAGAUGUCGGCGUGGGUCGGAAAGCAUGCGGAAGUCCUGCUUUGCUACGUGAUGGAUUUGCAGGUGGAGGAACUCAGCCAUCCCGGUUACCGGUGGCAGGAUGAUUUCCUUUCAUCCCAACCUUUAUUUCCACAGUGAAAUCAUCAUGAAGGAGCACUGUGUUGGCAUCCUCGGCUACAGGGUGUCUCAUUCCACUGCAGUCCAGCGGUUCUGGGAUCACGAAGGUCAAGCCUCCAGCUGCAGGCAGUACACCUCCUACCUGAGCUCAUUCAGCUGUUUGGCUGAACAUGACUGCCCGGGUUUUGGCAGGAUUGCUGAGAUAUGGGAGUUAGCCUGUGAGCAUGUUUUCGAAUACGGA
RNAcentral lists this long non-coding RNA (387 nucleotides) under Homo sapiens (human). RNAcentral describes it as "HSALNT0409297". The record is from RNAcentral. Lineage: Eukaryota; Metazoa; Chordata; Mammalia; Primates; Hominidae.